This 77-nucleotide transfer RNA is filed under the name Candidatus Faeciplasma pullistercoris. RNAcentral describes it as "tRNA-Pro". It matches the Rfam family "tRNA". From Rfam's summary of the family: Transfer RNA (tRNA) molecules are approximately 80 nucleotides in length. The record is from RNAcentral. Lineage: Bacteria; Bacillati; Bacillota; Clostridia; Eubacteriales; Oscillospiraceae.
CGAGGUGUGGCUCAGUUUGGUAGAGCGCCACGUUCGGGACGUGGAGGCCGUGGGUUCGAAUCCCGUCACCUCGACCA